RNAcentral lists this ribosomal RNA (508 nucleotides) under uncultured bacterium. Its description in RNAcentral is "partial 16S ribosomal RNA". It matches the Rfam family "Bacterial small subunit ribosomal RNA", at positions 28 to 523 of the family's 1533-position model. The record is from RNAcentral.
GAUGAACGCUAGCUACAGGCUUAACACAUGCAAGUCGAGGGGAAACGACAUCGAAAGCUUGCUUUUGAUGGGCGUCGACCGGCGCACGGGUGAGUAACGCGUAUCCAACCUGCCCACCACUUGGGGAUAACCUUGCGAAAGUAAGACUAAUACCCAAUGAUAUCUCUAGAAGACAUCUGAAAGAGAUUAAAGAUUUAUCGGUGAUGGAUGGGGAUGCGUCUGAUUAGCUUGUUGGCGGGGUAACGGCCCACCAAGGCUACGAUCAGUAGGGGUUCUGAGAGGAAGGUCCCCCACAUUGGAACUGAGACACGGUCCAAAAUCCUACGGGAGGCAGCAGGGAGGAAUAUUGGUCAAUGGACGAGAGUCUGAACCAGCCAAGUAGCGUGCAGGAUGACGGCCCUAUGGGUUGUAAACUGCUUUUAUAAGGGAAUAAAGUGAGUCUCGUGAGACUUUUUGCAUGUACCUUAUGAAUAAGGACCGGCUAAUUCCGUGCCAGCAGCCGCCGUAA